RNAcentral lists this unclassified non-coding RNA (327 nucleotides) under soil metagenome. Its description in RNAcentral is "partial contains 5.8S ribosomal RNA, internal transcribed spacer 2, and large subunit ribosomal RNA". The stretch from base 1 to 120 matches the Rfam family "5.8S ribosomal RNA", at positions 35 to 154 of the family's 154-position model. The record is from RNAcentral.
GAUGAAGAACGCAGCGAAAUGCGAUAAGUAAUGUGAAUUGCAGAAUUCAGUGAAUCAUCGAAUCUUUGAACGCACAUUGCGCCCCCUGGUAUUCCGGGGGGCAUGCCUGUCCGAGCGUCAUUACAACCCUCAAGCUCAGCUUGGUGUUGGGCCCCGCCGUCCGGCGGGCCCUAAAGUCAGUGGCGGUGCCGUCCGGCUCCGAGCGUAGUAAUUCUUCUCGCUCUGGAGGUCCGGUCGUGUGCUCGCCAGCAACCCCCAAUUUUUUCAGGUUGACCUCGGAUCAGGUAGGGAUACCCGCUGAACUUAAGCAUAUCAAUAAGCGGAGGA